RNAcentral lists this ribosomal RNA (463 nucleotides) under uncultured bacterium. RNAcentral's name for it is "partial 16S ribosomal RNA". It matches the Rfam family "Bacterial small subunit ribosomal RNA", at positions 28 to 507 of the family's 1533-position model. The record is from RNAcentral.
GACGAACGCUGGCGGCGUGCUUAACACAUGCAAGUCGAACGGAAAGGCCUUUUCGGAGGUACUCGAGUGGCGAACGGGUGAGUAACACGUGGGUGAUCUGCCCUGCACUCUGGGAUAAGCCUGGGAAACUGGGUCUAAUACCGGAUAGGACCGCACUUUAGUGUGUGUGGUGGAAAGUUGUCUCGGUGUAGGAUGAGCCCGCGGCCUAUCAGCUUGUUGGUGGGGUAAUGGCCUACCAAGGCGGCGACGGGUAGCCGGACUGAGAGGUUGGUCGGCCACAUUGGGACUGAGAUACGGCCCAGACUCCUACGGGAGGCAGCAGUGGGGAAUAUUGCACAAUGGGCGCAAGCCUGAUGCAGCGGCGCCGCGUGGGGGAUGACGGCCUUCGGGUUGUAAACUCCUUUCGCCAGGGACGAAGCGUUUUGUGACGGUACCUGGAGAAGAAGCACCGGCUAACUACGUG